UCCGGUUUAAUGAGGCAUGGCAUGGCAAUGUGCACAAACAAUAUGAAAAAUUAAGUGGAGCUCAAUAUGCAACGAGUUGCAUAUUGACGAAACACCACAUUCAAUCAUUUAGUUCACUCUCAUUUAUGUACCCAACAAUAUUAAAUGUUGUUAAACAUGGCAAGAUGUGAAGCAUAAUAAAUCUACCUAUCUAGGCAAGUUUAAAUGAGGCCGGAACAACAAGCAACAAGUCCGAAAAAAUCCUCAUGUGCAUAUUUUAAAGUUGGUACUAUUCUGCCCCAUACACAAUUUUAGAAUUGUUAAACAUGCAAAGUACUGCCACCAUGUUCAUCUAUGCAUUUUUAUACCCCAUUUACAUAUAAAGUUUAUUAAAUUUAAAGCUACGGUUAUUAAAUUAUGAAUUAAAUCAUUUUAGCAUGUCACUAGAGCAAAUUUAAACAAACAACAUUUUAAACAUGGAUACAAGUGGCAUAUUAUGAAACUACACAAAAUUCUAAGCAUUUUACAUAUUAAGUUUGUUUAAUUAUGAUGCAUGGUUCUGAAGUUAUGAAAUUCAUGAUCUAGAGGGACUUUUCUAUAAAUUUGUAAAACCUUGAUAAUAACUAAAAUCACAGGCACUGAAAAAAACACUAGGACGAAACUGAGUGCACUGCUGGGCCAACAUAGAGGAGGGCUGUGGGCGCUCACCCAUGGGCCAAGCCUAGCUGGGCGGCGAAGCGGCUUGGGCCGGCCUUGAAGGCGCAUUGGGCUGGUCCACGCGGGCGAGGGGAGCUGGGCCUGCGAGGCACAGGCUGCAGAGGUGAGGCGCUGGGCCUGGGCAUGGUCAACGCAUGCAUGCGAUGUGCGGUCGUGGCUUGAGGCGGGGUGUUGACCUCCUGCUUGAACCAGAAGCAAAGGAGGAGGCGGCCGGACAUGACGCAGCGAUGGGAACCUGCUGGAUCCAACAAGCAGUCAAACGAGGAGGUCAGGCAAGAGGCGAUGCUCGACGCAGGGCUGCCGGACCUAGUGCAGCGGAGGUCACAGGCGAGGCGGAGGAAGGCGGGGCGCGGAGCUCAAGCUGCGCGUCCAUGGCGAUGUAGAGGAUGGAGGCGUCGACUUGGCGGCAGGGACAUCGCGGGGAUGGUGGAGGCUUGGCGUUCGAUCCGGAGCAAGGAAGACAAGGGGUGACGCGACUGGAACGGCUACGCGACGAGAGGCACCGCUGGAGUUGUAGGCCACGGCAACGGCGGGGCGCGGUUCAGAGGAAGCAAGGGCAGCAGCAGCGGGGCUUGAGGCCGACGAUGGGAAUGCACGGGUGUCCAUGGCCGGUGAUUGGAGCUCCUGUUUGAACAGAGAAAGAGAGACACAGAGGUAAGACGAGGGAGGCGGAGAAACAACGGGAGGAGGAGAAGGGCAGCGAAGCUUAUCUCAUGGUCGCCGGCGGCGGCGCCGGUCGCGAGGGUGAGGCGGAGGCGCUGGUCGUCGGCUGCUGCUGCUACUCUUGCGAGGAGGCUCAGGGCAAGCUGGUUGGUCUUGAGAUGAAUCCAUAGGAGACGUGGGAGCGAAGGCAGCGCCUUGAUCCAUUCGGCAUCGAGAACGGGGUCGAUCUGAGAGGGAGAGGUGCGGUUGCUGGUUGGCAGGCUGGAUCAGGAGGGGAUCCCGAGGGGAAGAUUUGGUGAGUGGGUGGCGGCGGCUGAUCCAAGGAGGGGGAAAUCUGUAGGUGGCGGCAGCUAGGGGGGGACAAACUUCCUAGAAUUUAGGGUUUGGUCUGUAAAUGGACAAGGAGGUCUAUAUGUAGCAAAUCAGAUCAUUUUAGGGCGGUUAGGUCCUUCCGAUCGUAAUCGGGCGGUCCAAGAUAUUUAGGUUGGGAGAUUCCAACGAGAAAUCGAUGAUACUUUAUAGAAGUUUGGGGAUGAUCCGGACCCAACGGUAACGACUGCCCGGGUCGGGUCCGGGGAAGUUUCGGACGGUCGGUUGGAACUUGUGGGCUGUCCAGAAUGCGUUGGGCUGAGAGGAGAGAAAAGAGAGAGAGGCACGACAGCAGUUUUUGGAGACCGAAAACAUCCGACGUUAGACCGACUAUAUUGCGGCCAUAUGUUUAACGGUUUGGCUAUCAAACGAGCUCCGAAUGCAACGAAAAUUGACAGCCGUCUAUCUACACUAUAAUAAGACCGCACGCCAACUUUCGUCCCAUUCCUAGAACAUUUUCUGACCACUUACAAAAUAAUAUUUUGGACAUGCCGCGGGCGCGUGCGAGUGUGUCUGGGCUUAGAACGGACAACGGGGAGAACUGGGGAACCCGGACGGAUGCAAAUUUUGAAAACAUGAUGAUGCAAUGCACAUGAUGACAUGGCAAGAUGCAACACACAAGAAAAUACAUGGCAAAGAUAGCGAAAAACUAGAAGACACCUGGCGCAACGGUCUCGGGGCAUCACAACACUCCACCACUAUGGCACCGGAGAGAAACAGAAGAUGAAGAGAAGAGGUAAAACUAAGUUGCUUCUUGGACAAACGAGUGAAACCACGAACCUUGAGAGGUUGAACAAAUUUAAAGAAAGAAUGCAACCAAGAUGAACAAAGUUGAAAACAUUCCGAUAAAAAAGAGGAACAAUGAACAUUACGAGAACCUUGUAGGUUGAGAGCUCUAAGAAAAAUGUUACAAUGGACAAGAAGUACAUUUAAGCACUCUGAUUGAAACGAGAUGAACAAGGAACGAUAAAGAUUUAUUACGACAACACAUCAGUUGGAAAUGGAAGGCAAUAAUAUGAGCUUGGCAAAAUGAAAGCACUUGGAUGAGACUCCGGUUAGAAGAGGAAUGAUAGACACAACACUCCAGUUAAAACAAGAUAGAGAAGGAAUAAUAAUGAUAUAAUUUGGAUAGCACUCCGACUGAGAAGGGGGCAAAACUUGAUAAGAUGAGAGAACUUGAAUGGAUGAAAUGACACACCAGUUGAAUGGAUAAGCAAAGGAAAGAACAUGAUCUUGACAAAACAAGAUGAUGGGUCGAAGAGAGCAACAUCACAAUGCCUCCAGAACAAAUGAAAGAAUGGAAUCAAAAGAACGGAGGAGAAAGCAACAUCUUCUACCUCAAAUGAGCUUGAAAAAGCAUCUUUAGGAGAAGGGUCGAACGGAGUUGUUGGAAAACCAACAACGAAAAGAGUAAGCUUGUUGUGGGCUUAAGGAAAACAUCCCAAAACUUGGGGUGAAAUUCUGCCACUACCAAAAGAUUGGUUAGCUGAAAGGAACGAAGAGAUGGAAAAAAACUUCUCUCACCGUGAGAGUAGGAGGAAACUUGGAUCAAUAAAUAGCACCAUAAUUAGCAACAUUCCUUAGGGAAGGAUUUAGGUGAAAUAUAACCCAUGAUAACUCCCACGGAGAGAUUGAUGGGUUGCAAAGGAUCUCAUGAACGAAGAGAAAAUGAUGGGUUUAAAAUAUCUCAUUCUUAACAACUUGUGACUCAUGAAACACGAAAGAAAUUGACAAGAAUGGCAUAACACCACCUCAAAAGAUAAGGUAGAAAGAACUGCACUUCGGAAUGCAAUAUGAAGAAUGCUUGAACUCCUCAAAACAAGACAUGUGUUGAACACCAUGUUUAUUUUAGAGUAUAGCUUUGGCGGAUCAUAACUUCGAGAGAAAUCUUGAAGAACAAAUGACGAAUGAGAGGAAUCCUUGACGAACCAUCAUGUAGCCUCCAUGAAGAACUCCGAUAAUAAAAGAAUGAUCAAAAAGAAGUGAAGGGAAAAGAAUAAGAUUGAAGCCUUGCAAUGAUUAGUUGGAACUUCGUGACGAGAUAAUGCGGAAAACUUGGAACUCCAGAAAAGAAAAGAUGAAGCAUCUCGAACUGAGAAAUGUGACACGAUGAACAACUCUGGAAAGAAGAAACUAGAUCACUUGUAUGAAACAAUAAUAAGAAUUAUGUUAUGCGCAUCCUUCACCAAAUUAAAUUGAUGAGAAGCAACGGAUUUGGCAUACUACUUAUUCUCAUAGAAAGGAUUAAGAGAGAUAUAGCACAAACUUGGGAAGGUCUUCAACAAACCACUGGUAGGAUUUGGAAACAACGAAUGAAUUCAUAUGAAAACAAAGGAAGAAGAAUCUUGAACAAACCACCGUAAGAAUUGAAAAUGAAAGUGGCAAAAGCACAAUUCAUCAGGAAGAAUUGGAAAAGGAACGAAGAUACUUAAGAGAAUCAAGAUGAAAGAGAAUAAAGAGAUCGUGGGCUGUUUAAAGAAUGCUUGAAUGAUGCACUGGUAAAAUUUGGACAACGAGAACUGAAAACUGGAAUGCAUUAUUCUGAGAUGAUGGACUCCGAAGAAUCAAACUGAAAAAAUACUCAUGAAUUUCUCCGGAUGGGUGAAAAGGAUUCUCCAAUCGAAAAAAAUAUGAGAGGAUGGCAGCAAGCUUGAACCACGAAUCUUUGGAAGAGCGGGUGAGGAUUUAAGAGGAAAUCCUCUUCGGUCUUCAAGAUCCAAGAAUGACAACGAGAAACACCACCAUGAAUUAUUGAGAUACUCCGGGAGAAUGAAUAAUGAAGAAGUUCAGCCAACGAUGAAAAGAAUUUGAAACAUCUUGGAGGAAGACAUAUGACUGAUGAUAAUUCAUUCUUACGUCAAACUUUGCAAUGAAUUUGAGAAUAACUCCGAAAAGAAUUAGAAGAGUCAGGUAAGAUCCUAGAGAAAGACCUGUGGGUUAGGGCCCACUUAAAAGAAACACCGUUGAACGAUUGCUCAGGAAGAGAUAAUGCACCAGUUGAUUUGAACGUCUUGAACGAGGUAACAACCUCGAAAUAGCUUGGAAGGAACAAGAAUGGAAACUUGAAUCUUUUGGGAUAUCUUCAGCACUCUAGAUAAACAUGAAUAGCAAGAGGUGGCAUGAGAAAACAUUUAAAACGAGGAAAGGAAUAUGAUCAACACUAAAAGCUUGAAUUGAAUCCACCGGAGAAGAAAUAGAACGAAGAAUGAUGAACUUGAAGCUUCCUUAGUAUCUCCACGAGAAAUCACCGGGUAAGAACAUUGAAGGAAAGAAUGAAGAAACUUCACACCCAUAUGAUGGAUACUUGAUUAAGAAAUAUGAGUCCUUGAAGAAAAAGGGUGGGAGGGCGGGAAAACAAAGGAACCUUGGGACGGAUGAAACAAACACCGGUGAGAAAACUGAGAUUGCAUCUUGCAAAUGGGAAAAAUGAUAGGAUCAUCUUGAAGAGAAGCACACCGGUUGGAAAUAGAAUUGAGAUGACAACCUUGAUGAUCAAGAAGGAUUUAUACUCCCACGGGAAUAUGGAACACUGCUUAGAAACAAGCAUGGAAUCAACAUUUGACUUUGAAGCAACGCGAAUACCAAAACUCAAAACAAAACAAAGGAUUUGGCUUGCAGAAUAAACUGGAAACAAACAUAUGAUAGAUCCCAUAUCGUAUCAUGUGUCUGUUGGAAAGAUAUUCUAGGAUCUACUUGAAUUCCCACCUAUAAACUCCUGAAGCUUUCUGGUUAUGCAAUCAGGUGUUGGGGAUAUAGGGGAAGCAUAAUAUCUCACCCAAACUAACAAUCCCUACAUCUAGUUGUAUCCAUCCUUCAACACAUAACCAAGAAACCUUCGGAAAUCGUGUACCUCAACCUUCGAAAAGCAUACGUUAUACGAGUUAUGGCAAUACUCCCGAACUCCCGCCAAAUACUGGGUGGCGUCGAGGUUAUCUCACCAACAACUGCAUAAAAGAGAUUUUUGAUGUCGGUGAAACUCAGGUAUUCUAGAACUACAACCAUAAAAUUGUGACGACGACACCUCAGAGCUCAACUCCCAGGCACACUGCCACAACCCCUAAAUGUCAGGAGGCACCAAGAACAAUGUUCUCGUCACAAGAAUAUCGGAAUGAUUCCAAGAUACCCGUGUGAUCCUAGAAAUUUUUUUAGUGAAAUUUGACGAGAGGAAAGUCAAAACUUCUACGUCAGGAGGCAUCACCAGAGCGACAAAGGGACUGAGGAGUAAAAAUAAUCCCACUCUCCGAUAUAUAUAAUCCUAAGACUCAAAACAUUUUGAUCUAGACUCAAUAACGUCAGCGAUUCGAUCAAGCAGGGGGCUCCUAAGUCGGGAUGGCUCUGAUACCAACUUAUAACACCCACGAUGCGGCUAUAUCUCCCACGUGUCGAGGCGCGACUUAGAGGCAUAACCGCAUGGUGGUUUAGUCGCAAGUGGGGUAAUCUUCACACAAUCCCAUGUACCGAAUAAGAAAGGGAUAAAGAGUUGGCUUACAAUCGCCACUUCACACAAAUAACAAGUUAAACAUACAUCAUCCAGAAUACAAUAAAGGUCCAACUACGGGACCAAAAUAAAAGAAGACAACCCCAAAUGCUAGAUCCCCGAUCAUCCCAACUGGGCACCACAACUGAUCAUCCGGAAAAGACACAUAACAACGACCAAGAUCUUCAUCGAGCUCCCACUUGAGCUUGGUUGUGUCACCUGCACUGGUAUCAUGGGCACCUGCAACUAUGUGGAAGUAUCUGUGAGUCACGAGGGCUCAACAAUCUCACACUAGCGUGAUCAAGACUAUUUAAGCUUAUGGGUAGGACAGGGUAAUGAGGUGGAGCUACAGCAAGCACUAAGCAUAUAUGGUGGCUAACAUACGAAAAUAAGAGCGAGAAGAGAAGCAACACAGCGGCCGAGAAGCUAGAAGUGAUCAAGAAGUGAUCAUGAAACUACUUAUGUUCAAGCAUAACACAAGACCGUGUUCACUUCCCAGACUCCGCCGAAAUGAGACCAUCACGGCUACACACGCGGUUGAUGUAUUUUAAUUAAGUCAAGUGUCAAGUUCUCUACAACUGGACAUUAACAAAUUCCCGUCUGCCACAUAACCCUGGGCACGGCUUUCGAAAGUUUAUACCCUCCAGGGGUGUCCCAACUUAGCCCAUCAGAAGCUCUCAUGAUUAGCGAAGGAUAUUCCUUCUCCCGGAAAGACCCGAUCAAUUUCGGAAUCCUGGUUACAAGACAUUUCAACAAUGGUAAGACAAGACCAGCAAAGCCGCCCGAUUUUCUGACAAAUCCUGAUAGGUGUCGCACGCAUCUCAUUCUCAGGGCACACCGGAUGGGAAAGACGUCCGGUUGGCAUAGACCCUGGUUGCCCAGGGGGCGCCGAACAUCACCCAGUUCGGACCAACACUCAGAGGAGCACUNNNNNNNNNNNNNNNNNNNNNNNNNNNNNNNNNNNNNNNNNNNNNNNNNNNNNNNNNNNNNNNNNNNNNNNNNNNNNNNNNNNNNNNNNNNNNNNNNNNNNNNNNNNNNNNNNNNNNNNNNNNNNNNNNNNNNNNNNNNNNNNNNNNNNNNNNNNNNNNNNNNNNNNNNNNNNNNNNNNNNNNNNNNNNNNNNNNNNNNNNNNNNNNNNNNNNNNNNNNNNNNNNGUUAAAAUAAAGAUGACCCUCGGGCUUCGGAAACCCAAGGGGAAAAGGCUUAGGUUAUUAGGCAAAUGUAAAACCAAGGUUGGGCCUUGCUGGAGGAGUUUUAUUCAAAGCGAACUGUCAAGGGGGGACCAUAACUCCCCAACCGCGUAAGGAACGCAAAAUCAAGGAACAUAACACCGGUAUGACGGAAACUAGGGCGACAAGAGUGGAACAAAACACCAGGUAAAAGGCCGAGCCUUCCACCCUUUACCAAGUAUAUAGAUGCAUUAAUUAAAAUAAGAGGUAUUAUGAUAUCCCAACAUAUCCAUGUUCCAACAUGGAACAAACUUCAGCUUCACCUGCAACUAACAACGCUAUAAGAGGGGCUGAGCAAAGCGGUAACAUAGCCAAACAACGGUUUGCUAGGAAGGUGGGUUAGAGGCUUGACAUGGCAACAUGGGAGGCAUGAUAUAACAAAUGGUAGGUAACGCGACAUAGUGAUAGAACGAACAACUAGCAAGCAAAGAUAGAAGUGAUUUCGAGGGUAUGGUCAUCUUGCAUGAGAUCCCACAAGGAAGAAUAACGAGUCCAAGAAGUAGACGAACCAACGUAGUCGAUCAAAUCCUCACAAUUUCGGAAUGAAACCGAAGCUAACAAGAGAAGCAACCCGGAAAGAAGCAAGAAACAUAGUAAACAACCAUCACAUAAACAUGGCAUGAUGCACAACCAAGUAUGAUGAUGUCCGGUUUAAUGAGGCAUGGCAUGGCAAUGUGCACAAACAAUACUAAAAAUUAAGUGGAGCUCAAUAUGCAACGAGUUGCAUAUUGAUGAAACACCACAUUCAAUCAUUUAGUUCACUCUCGUUUAUGUACCCAACAAUAUUAAAUGUUGUUAAACAUGGCAAGAGGUGAAGCAUAAUAAAACUACCUAUCUAGGCAAGUUUAAAUGAGGCCGGAAC
Molecule: long non-coding RNA, 8296 nt
Filed under: Triticum aestivum (bread wheat)
Lineage: Eukaryota; Viridiplantae; Streptophyta; Magnoliopsida; Poales; Poaceae
Description: long non-coding RNA (TAES_LNC014792)
Source: RNAcentral